RNAcentral lists this long non-coding RNA (220 nucleotides) under Elaeis guineensis (African oil palm). Its description in RNAcentral is "long non-coding RNA (EGUI_LNC021349)". The record is from RNAcentral. Lineage: Eukaryota; Viridiplantae; Streptophyta; Magnoliopsida; Arecales; Arecaceae.
AAGUGUACGACAACCAAGAAAAUAUUUGCUCAUAAAGCAACCAGACAAUUACCUUAUAUUUACCUCUACGUGGAAGCCAGAUCUGUCAUCCCCCUAACUCUUGAUGACAACGACAGGUUCACACAUCACGCCACGUGUCCUCUACAAAAUGAGCGGCGGUGUCGAUACCCAUCCGAAGGGAUCCCGCAUGGUAGUCUAUGUGCGGAAUACCGGAAUCAGA